This 465-nucleotide ribosomal RNA is filed under the name uncultured bacterium. RNAcentral describes it as "partial 16S ribosomal RNA". It matches the Rfam family "Bacterial small subunit ribosomal RNA", at positions 338 to 795 of the family's 1533-position model. The record is from RNAcentral.
CCUACGGGAGGCAGUAGUGGGGAAUAUUGCGCAAUGGGCGAAAGCCUGACGCAGCGACGCCGCGUGAGGGAUGAAGGUCUUCGGAUCGUAAACCUCUGUCAGCAGGGAAGAACGGUCACUGUGCUAAUCAGCAGUGAAUUGACGGUACCUGCAAAGGAAGCACCGGCGAACUCCGUGCCAGCAGCCGCGGUAAUACGGAGGGGGCGAGCGUUAAUCGGAAUUACUGGGCGUAAAGCGCUCGUAGGCGGUAUGGCAAGUCAAGGGUGAAAGCCCCGCGCUCAACGUGGGAACUGCCUUUGAAACUGGGAGACUGGAUUGUGUGAGAGGAUAGUGGAAUUCCAGGUGUAGGGGUGAAAUCCGUAGAUAUCUGGAGGAACAUCAGUGGCGAAGGCGACUAUCUGGCACAUAACUGACGCUGAGGAGCGAAAGCGUGGGUAGCAAACAGGAUUAGAUACCCCAGUAGUC